UUAAGAGAUUCCAACCAUUCCAAAGUGACACCAUGAUUAACCACUUGAAAAAAACCAAGUGUUGAGGCAUUUGCUAAGAUGAGUUUUCAUUACACAUAACAAACAUACAAGAUGUGUUUAAUACAAGAUGUUCAAAGCAAACAUAACGCUCGAGAGGGGUCAGGAAGUACCUCAAGAUGAAGUCUUCAAGAUUACUCACACGAGGAAGGCGAAGAACGCCGAUGGUACGGACCAAUGGAUUGAGCCUAGGGCUCAGCAAACCUAUACCGAGUUUCAACAACACAAGUUGGAAUAUUGUGCCAGUCAGCCAGCCUGGACGUCGAUGACCAACGAGAUAAUUGCUUAGCAGUGGAUGGAGAAGGUAGCUCCCCCGACAAGGUAUGAGACAGUUUAUGGGAUGCCUAAUCGAGCAUGUCGUCAAUUUCCGUCGUUCUUUCAAGGCGUAGGUGCUACUUCUGAAGGGGCAGUGGAUCCUAAGGAGUACCAAGAAAUGAAGCUGAAAG
Molecule: long non-coding RNA, 503 nt
Organism: Lycium barbarum (goji berry)
Lineage: Eukaryota; Viridiplantae; Streptophyta; Magnoliopsida; Solanales; Solanaceae
Exons: 3
Source: RefSeq, a predicted model, not a curated record